UACGUAGGGUGCAAGCGUUGUCCGGAAUUAUUGGGCGUAAAGGGCUCGUAGGCGGCCAACUAAGUCAGACGUGAAAUCCCCAGGCUCAACCUGGGAACUGCGUCUGAUACUGGUUGGCUUGAAUCCGGGAGAGGGAUGCAGAAUUCCAGGUGUAGCGGUGAAAUGCGUAGAUAUCUGGAGGAAUACCGGUGGCGAAGGCGGCAUCCUGGACCGGCAUUGACGCUGAGGAGCGAAAGCUAGGGGAGCAAACGGG
This 253-nucleotide ribosomal RNA is filed under the name uncultured bacterium. RNAcentral's name for it is "partial 16S ribosomal RNA". It matches the Rfam family "Bacterial small subunit ribosomal RNA", at positions 524 to 776 of the family's 1533-position model. The record is from RNAcentral.